GCAGCUAGCACAAAGCUUACAUAGGCCCAAACCACAUAGAUGUUGUUAUACAUGAGCAAAGCAAAUCAGAUGAGGACACGUAAACCUAAUAGAAAAGCAAAGCAUCUAGGGAAACAAUCAGGAAAUCAAGAGCUAAUUAUCUAGGGGAAACAUAGACCCAGUCUCCUUACUUCAUAAGCAUGGUGCUCGAUGUGGAAUAGACAUUCAGAUUUUUCUUUACUGACUGUAUAAAUAUUACUUUAUGCAAUAUACAUAAACACAAGAAGUGGUUAAAUACAACUAAAACAUUUUCUUAAAUGAGAACUCACCAUAUUAAAUACUUAACUUAGAAAGGGAAACUGCAAACAAAAGUCCUAAGUUCCAUCUUAAGAGUAAAUUGAAGAGUAAAUUGAAUCAUAGCAGAGAGAAGGAAAUUAUAUGAAGUAGAAAACAGAAAAACAAUAGAGGAAAAAAAUCAACAAAACAGAAAUCUGAGUUUUUGAAAAAAAAAAAGUACAAUAAAAUCUAUAAACUUCAAGGCAGAAUGACCAAGGGAGGAAGGAGAAGGGAAAGUCAGGCCACAAAUUCCCAAUAUUAGGAAUGAGAGAGGAUGCAUUAGUGUAGACCAAGCUGGUGUUCA
This is a long non-coding RNA of Perognathus longimembris pacificus (Pacific pocket mouse), 619 nucleotides long. RefSeq lists it as uncharacterized. The record is from RefSeq and is a predicted model, not a curated record. The transcript has 2 exons. Lineage: Eukaryota; Metazoa; Chordata; Mammalia; Rodentia; Heteromyidae.